This is a long non-coding RNA of Canis lupus familiaris (dog), 1297 nucleotides long. RefSeq lists it as uncharacterized. NCBI's taxonomy places the organism in Eukaryota, Metazoa, Chordata, Mammalia, Carnivora, Canidae. The record is from RefSeq and is a predicted model, not a curated record. The transcript is spliced from 3 exons.
AGUCCUACAAGAGAUAUAGGAGCCAAUAGGAUGCCUCCAAUCUAAUCAGGGAAGCACUCCUGCCAAUAAGGAAGCCCUGCUUAAUUAUGAAAUCAUCAUCACAUCCUUGGGAAUCUCUAGUUUGUACAACGCGACUCCACCAUCAGGAAGCCUCUGGCUUGAUAAAAGAAACUCAGCUUGCUGCCAUGAUGAAAGUUUCCCCAGAGUACCUGGCUGGCUUAGUCCUGUGGGGCAUAUGACUCUUGAUCUUGGGACCAUGAGUUUGAGACCUAUGUUGAGUGUAGAACUUACUUUAAAAAAAAAGUUUCCCAGAAAAUGUGCUGAUGGCAUUGAGUGGGCAGUAAAAAUAACCAAGAACUUGCAAAGCUGGAAAAAAGACCUUGAGAUCACCUGCUUGGGCUGGAGCUCCAAGACUGCAGAGCAGAGACAAGCUAAGAAGAGUCUAUCUUUUGCAGCUGGACAAAGGACAUCAUGAGCUGACCAGAAAAACAGUCUAUAGAGUAACUAUCUUUGAUAGAAAUAAUAAAGAUAUAAACUGAACAGCCUAAGUUUUUAAGUAAAAGAAGAAUCAAGAUUUUCUGGCAAAAGAUUGCAGGACAAAAAUGAGAGGAGUCCUUUAGCAGAGGAAGAAUUUCAGCCCAUUUCUGGAAAUAUUAAUGCCAAUAAAGAAGAGCUGAUGAAGCAAAGGAAGUGGCUUGGGAAGGGUCAAGACUUGGAAACAUCAGACAAGGGGAAGAAAAGUUGAUGGCCCUGGUCAAGAUAAGAGCUGGCCCUGUCAGAGGUGUGUACGAAGGGAUCUGAUUGGGUGACAAUGGAACCCAAGUUAAGCAUGUGGUGACAAAGUCUGAGUAGCUGCAUUGCAAAUACAGGGUGGGACUGACAAGAGUGUAACUCAGAAGACAGCAGGGAAGAAAUCUCCCCAAGCAGCUCUGCUCUGAACUCUGCCCUAUCCAAGAACUCUUCACCCAGCCAAGAGAUCCGCAACCCAGUGGAGAGUCCAUGGACUCAGUAAGAAAGAGUUUACAGCUUCCUUCCUCAAAAGUCUCCAAGAUAAACAGAAUAAACACCAGUUGGUCUCAGCUGGUCGCACGUUGGCCUGCCUGGAAGAGGGGGAUGCCAGAGAUAGCUUCUUGAGGUUGCUUCCAGCCCUGCAUUUCUAGGAAAUAGACAAUUAUGAACAACAUGGAUUUUAUUAUCGUGACAUCUCUAAGGUCUCUGCAUAAAGCCUAUAUUUAAAAAUAUAAACAUGUAAGUGAAAAAAAAAUGUCAGGGGAAUAAAUAUUUGUCUUAAAAGAGA